This is a long non-coding RNA of Sceloporus undulatus (fence lizard), 320 nucleotides long. RefSeq lists it as uncharacterized. NCBI's taxonomy places the organism in Eukaryota, Metazoa, Chordata, Lepidosauria, Squamata, Phrynosomatidae. The transcript is spliced from 2 exons. The record is from RefSeq and is a predicted model, not a curated record.
UGAAGACAAAGUGAAAUCUGUUCUACAGCGUGCCCUUAUCUAUACUAUGGUUAUCAUCCUCAGCUUUGCCAAUGUAAAGUUCUUUGGAAUGCUUAGUAUCUUUUUGGUGGCCUGCAAGAGAAAAAGUGAUGGUUUCCAACCUUUAAAUUCAGAAGAUUGGCAGCCAGAAUGAUGGACAGUGACUUUCCUUGGUCUUACAUGAAUAAAAUGGACGUGGAAAAUAUGCCUUGCAAAGAAAAUGUUGGCCUGCUUUUCUCAAAAUGCCAAAGGAGAUUGUGAUCAUUUUCAAAAGUUGUAUUAAAUGUGAAAUAGCUUGGUUU